AAGUAAAAAGUCGUAACAAGGUUUCCGUAGGUGAACCUGCGGAAGGAUCAUUAUUGAAUUUUAAUGAAGGGAUUUGGUUGUAGCUGGCUCAUGAAUUUGAGCAUGUGCACACCUUUUCUCUUUCAUCCACACACACCUGUGCACCUGUGAGGCAGAUGGGGAAUUUACUGAUUGUUUUUUUUAAGAACAAUUGGUGCUGGACCCUCUGUCUACUUUAACCAAUAUAAACUCAAUAUAUUUUAAAAAUGAAUGUAACGGAUGUAACACAUCUAAUACUAAGUUUCAACAACGGAUCUCUUGGCUCUCGCAUCGAUGAAGAACGCAGCGAAAUGCGAUAAGUAAUGUGAAUUGCAGAAUUCAGUGAAUCAUCGAAUCUUUGAACGCACCUUGCGCUCCUUGGUAUUCCUUGGAGCAUGCCUGUUUGAGUAUCAUGAAAUCUUCAAAGUAGAUCCUUUUGUUAACUCGAUUGGUUCUGCUUUGGUUUUGGAGGUCUUUGCAGUUUCACACCUGCUCCUCUUUGUGUAUUAGCUGGAUCUCAGUGUUAUGCUUGGUUCCACUCGGCGUGAUAAGUUAUCUAUCGCUGAGGACACUGUAAAAAGUGGCCAAGGGAAAUGCAGAUGAGCCGCUUCUAAUGGUCCAUUUAUUCGGACAAUAAUUUCUUUAUGAUUUGAUCUCAAAUCAGGUAGGACUACCCGCUGAACUUAAGCAUAUCAAUAA
Molecule: ribosomal RNA, 717 nt
Filed under: Rhizoctonia solani AG-11
Lineage: Eukaryota; Fungi; Basidiomycota; Agaricomycetes; Cantharellales; Ceratobasidiaceae
Description: eukaryotic LSU rRNA
Rfam family: 5.8S ribosomal RNA (bases 278-431)
Source: RNAcentral